Molecule: ribosomal RNA, 433 nt
Filed under: uncultured bacterium
Lineage: Bacteria
Description: partial 16S ribosomal RNA
Rfam family: Bacterial small subunit ribosomal RNA
Source: RNAcentral
AACGAACGCUGGCGGCAUGCCUAACACAUGCAAGUCGAACGAGACCUUCGGGUCUAGUGGCGCACGGGUGCGUAACGCGUGGGAACCUGCCCUUAGGUUCGGAAUAACUCCCCGAAAGGGGUGCUAAUACCGGAUAAUGUCUUCGGACCAAAGAUUUAUCGCCUUUGGAUGGGCCCGCGUUGGAUUAGCUAGUUGGUAGGGUAAAAGCCUACCAAGGCGACGAUCCAUAGCUGGUCUGAGAGGAUGAUCAGCCACACUGGGACUGAGACACGGCCCAGACUCCGACGGGAGGGAGCAGUGGGGAAUAUUGGACAAUGGGCGAAAGCCUGAUCCAGCAAUGCCGCGUGAGUGAUGAAGGCCUUAGGGUUGUAAAGCUCUGUUACCCGGGAUGAUAAUGACAUUACCGGGAGAAUAAGCUCCGGCUAACUCCGUG